RNAcentral lists this transfer RNA (73 nucleotides) under Paludibacteraceae bacterium. RNAcentral's name for it is "tRNA-Ala". It matches the Rfam family "tRNA". From Rfam's summary of the family: Transfer RNA (tRNA) molecules are approximately 80 nucleotides in length. The record is from RNAcentral. RNAcentral also lists the same sequence under 1 other name. Lineage: Bacteria; Pseudomonadati; Bacteroidota; Bacteroidia; Bacteroidales; Paludibacteraceae.
GGGGUAUUAGCUCAUCUGGUAGAGCGUGACGUUCGCAAUGUCAAGGUAAGGGGUUCGAGUCCCCUAUACUCCA